ACGCUGGCGGCAGGCCUAACACAUGCAAGUCGAGCGGUAGCACAGAGAGCUUGCUCUCGGGUGACGAGCGGCGGACGGGUGAGUAAUGUCUGGGAAACUGCCUGAUGGAGGGGGAUAACUACUGGAAACGGUAGCUAAUACCGCAUAACGUCGCAAGACCAAAGUGGGGGACCUUCGGGCCUCAUGCCAUCAGAUGUGCCCAGAUGGGAUUAGCUAGUAGGUGGGGUAACGGCUCACCUAGGCGACGAUCCCUAGCUGGUCUGAGAGGAUGACCAGCCACACUGGAACUGAGACACGGUCCAGACUCCUACGGGAGGCAGCAGUGGGGAAUAUUGCACAAUGGGCGCAAGCCUGAUGCAGCCAUGCCGCGUGUGUGAAGAAGGCCUUCGGGUUGUAAAGCACUUUCAGCGGGGAGGAAGGCGAUAAGGUUAAUAACCUUGUCGAUUGACGUUACCCGCAGAAGAAGCACCGGCUAACUCCGUGCCAGCAGCCGCGGUAAUACGGAGGGUGCAAGCGUUAAUCGGAAUUACUGGGCGUAAAGCGCACGCAGGCGGUCUGUCAAGUCGGAUGUGAAAUCCCCGGGCUCAACCUGGGAACUGCAUUCGAAACUGGCAGGCUAGAGUCUUGUAGAGGGGGGUAGAAUUCCAGGUGUAGCGGUGAAAUGCGUAGAGAUCUGGAGGAAUACCGGUGGCGAAGGCGGCCCCCUGGACAAAGACUGACGCUCAGGUGCGAAAGCGUGGGGAGCAAACAGGAUUAGAUACCCUGGUAGUCCACGCCGUAAACGAUGUCGAUUUGGAGGUUGUGCCCUUGAGGCGUGGCUUCCGGAGCUAACGCGUUAAAUCGACCGCCUGGGGAGUACGGCCGCAAGGUUAAAACUCAAAUGAAUUGACGGGGGCCCGCACAAGCGGUGGAGCAUGUGGUUUAAUUCGAUGCAACGCGAAGAACCUUACCUGGUCUUGACAUCCACAGAACUUAGCAGAGAUGCUUUGGUGCCUUCGGGAACUGUGAGACAGGUGCUGCAUGGCUGUCGUCAGCUCGUGUUGUGAAAUGUUGGGUUAAGUCCCGCAACGAGCGCAACCCUUAUCCUUUGUUGCCAGCGGUCCGGCCGGGAACUCAAAGGAGACUGCCAGUGAUAAACUGGAGGAAGGUGGGGAUGACGUCAAGUCAUCAUGGCCCUUACGACCAGGGCUACACACGUGCUACAAUGGCAUAUACAAAGAGAAGCGACCUCGCGAGAGCAAGCGGACCUCAUAAAGUAUGUCGUAGUCCGGAUUGGAGUCUGCAACUCGACUCCAUGAAGUCGGAAUCGCUAGUAAUCGUAGAUCAGAAUGCUACGGUGAAUACGUUCCCGGGCCUUGUACACACCGCCCGUCACACCAUGGGAGUGGGUUGCAAAAGAAGUAGGUAGCUUAACCUUCGGGAGGGCGCUUACCACUUUGUGAUUCAUGACUGGG
Molecule: ribosomal RNA, 1454 nt
Filed under: Klebsiella sp. YX118S
Lineage: Bacteria; Pseudomonadati; Pseudomonadota; Gammaproteobacteria; Enterobacterales; Enterobacteriaceae
Description: bacterial SSU rRNA
Rfam family: Bacterial small subunit ribosomal RNA
Source: RNAcentral